Long non-coding RNA from Choloepus didactylus (southern two-toed sloth), 1810 nucleotides. RefSeq lists it as uncharacterized. The record is from RefSeq and is a predicted model, not a curated record. The transcript has 3 exons. NCBI's taxonomy places the organism in Eukaryota, Metazoa, Chordata, Mammalia, Pilosa, Megalonychidae.
AACUGCUUAUAUUAAUUUGUUUAAACCAGUAAAAAAAUGAUACCAGUGCAUAUGUUAAAAACCACUGAACUGUAUGUACUCUUUAAAGGAUAAAGUUUAUGGUAUGCGAAUUAUAACGGUAAAAAUAUUAAUAAAUACACAUGCACACACACACAUAUAAAGGAAACAAUACUUCCAAAAACGGUACAAGAGGAAAUUUAUCUAGAUCCGUCCACAGGUAUCUCGAGGGCCUAGCGUGUGCUACAUCUACGCUGAUGUUGAUACUGCUACUUUUUCCAGAGCACUAUGAGUCAGCUUUUCCUGACUAUCUUACUUAAGUCAUUAUAGAUGAGCUAGCUUGCCCAAGGGCUUGCAGCUAAGUGCAGAGCUUAGAUUCAAACCCAUGGUUGCCUCACUUAGAAGCCCCAGAUUUGAACCACUAUGGUCCGCCAUCUCCAGUGAAUGCUGAAUUAAUGUCAACUGGAGUGACUGUCCCGAAACACCCUCAGCUCAUCUCCCGCUAUCCCCUGUUCUCUCCCUGCCAACGUGGGAGUCGGGGACAGUCAGACCGUCUGCGACCCCGCGGCAACCCGAGGCCCGAAGCGGCGGCAGAAUUCCGAAGACCGAAAAGCAGAACCAGAGGCCGAGCCUAAGCACGAAAGGAAGCCCGCAGCGUCCCGCCAGACAGGAAAACCGGACAUCAAGGCAGGGAUGACGCUGAAGGACAGCAGAGGCGGGAUCUGCAGGCCUGCAGCGCCAUGUCGGUCCCGGCUGCCAAUAAAGUUGACGACCAUUCAUACUCCUGGGGGCUUUCCGGGGUCUUGACGCGCGUGGGCCUGCACGGCGAGGCCCGCGCUGUGCGGGAGACUCGGCCCGGGGCUGGGAGCUGUCCUCACGGCCGCCGGCUCAGGGUCAACCCCGCAGCCAGGCAAUAAGGGCGGCGGGCGCCGAGCGUGACGCGGGCGGGCGUGCAGGCAGAGCGCCGGGCAGCCCUCGGCGCGUGGCUAUGGCGGCCGUGCUGGGGGCGUGCGGGGCGACGCGACGUUUGUUCGCGGCGCUUUGGGGCCGGGACUGGAGCCUCGCGGCCAUGUCAGCAGAUGCUCACUGGUUGACAGCAGAAGAGAGGAACCAAGUUAUACUUGACCUUAAAGCGGCAGGAUGGUCAGAAUUAAGUGAGAGAGAUGCCAUCUACAAAGAAUUCUUGUUCAAAAAUUUUAAUCAGCUUUUAGGAGAAGGAGGUAGAUGGUAAGGAAAUCAGCAGUGUCAGGGAAUUUAUUCAGAGAACCAGCACUGAGGUUAUAUCUUGGGGCCAGUUUUCUAGCCAGUCUCCUGUCUAUGACUUCUGCAUGUACAAUGGCCCUGUAAUGGCAACUGAUAACAAUGACAACCGUCAGUGCCCUCCAGUCAAAGACCACCAGGAGCAUACGUAAAAUUGAGCAAGUUGGGUUUGUUAGUACUCAUGGUAAUGAGGAAGAACUUUCCUCAUGGAGAAUCUUGGGCCAUUUCAGGAAGAAAGUAUUAGAAAAGACUUAUUACAGGAUUUGGGCUUGUAUUAGUGAUUUGGGGAGUAUUUAAGGAAGCAGAGAUUUGGAUUGGAUGCUUUCAGGACAUGAGAGUAGUUUUAUGAUUGGGUAUUUUAAUAAAUAUCUGUAGGGAGAACAGACUGAAGUGAAGUUAAAGCUAAAAUUGAUUGAUCAAGAAGCCUAGUGUGCCGGUUUGUAUAUAUUACGUCCCCCAGAAAAAGCCAUAUUCUUUGAUGCAGUCUUGUGUGGGCAGACUUAUUAGUGUUGAUUGGAUUGUAAUUCUUUGAUUAAGUGUUUCCAUGGAGAUG